This 260-nucleotide unclassified non-coding RNA is filed under the name Sordariomycetes sp. RNAcentral's name for it is "partial contains 5.8S ribosomal RNA, internal transcribed spacer 2, and large subunit ribosomal RNA". The record is from RNAcentral. Lineage: Eukaryota; Fungi; Ascomycota; Sordariomycetes.
CGCACAUUGCGCCCACUAGUAUUCUAAUGGGCAUGCCUGUUCGAGCGUCAUUUCAACCCUCAAGCCCUGGCUGCUUGGUGUUGGGCACCUGCGGGCCUCGCCCGCAGGCCCCGAAAGACAGUGGCGGGCGCGCCGCGACCCCGAGCGUAGUAGUUACAUCUCGCUUAGGGCGUCCGGCGCAGUCUCUUGCCGUAAAGCCUCUCUCCGGAGAACUUCACAAGGUUGACCUCGGAUCAGGUAGGAAUACCCGCUGAACUUAA